GUGACGCUGGCGGCGUGCCUAAUACAUGCAGUCGAGCGGACAGAUGGGAGCUUGCUCCCUGAUGUUAGCGGCGGACGGGUGAGUAACACGUGGGUAACCUGCCUGUAAGACUGGGAUAACUCCGGGAAACCGGGGCUAAUACCGGAUGGUUGUCUGAACCGCAUGGUUCAGACAUAAAAGGUGGCUUCGGCUACCACUUACAGAUGGACCCGCGGCGCAUUAGCUAGUUGGUGAGGUAACGGCUCACCAAGGCAACGAUGCGUAGCCGACCUGAGAGGGUGAUCGGCCACACUGGGACUGAGACACGGCCCAGACUCCUACGGGAGGCAGCAGUAGGGAAUCUUCCGCAAUGGACGAAAGUCUGACGGAGCAACGCCGCGUGAGUGAUGAAGGUUUUCGGAUCGUAAAGCUCUGUUGUUAGGGAAGAACAAGUGCCGUUCAAAUAGGGCGGCACCUUGACGGUACCUAACCAGAAAGCCACGGCUAACUACGUGCCAGCGGCCGCGGUAAUACGUAGGUGGCAAGCGUUGUCCGAAAUUAUUGGGCGUAAAGGGCUCGCAGGCGGUUUCUUAAGUCUGAUGUGAAAGCCCCCGGCUCAAC
This 600-nucleotide ribosomal RNA is filed under the name Bacillus amyloliquefaciens. Its description in RNAcentral is "bacterial SSU rRNA". It matches the Rfam family "Bacterial small subunit ribosomal RNA", at positions 30 to 613 of the family's 1533-position model. The record is from RNAcentral. Lineage: Bacteria; Bacillati; Bacillota; Bacilli; Caryophanales; Bacillaceae.